RNAcentral lists this ribosomal RNA (709 nucleotides) under uncultured bacterium. RNAcentral describes it as "bacterial SSU rRNA". It matches the Rfam family "Bacterial small subunit ribosomal RNA", at positions 48 to 724 of the family's 1533-position model. The record is from RNAcentral.
CUAAUACAUGCAAGUCGAGCGCAGGAAGCAGACUGAUCUCCUUCGGGAGUGACGUUUGUGGAAUGAGCGGCGGACGGGUGAGUAACACGUGGGCAACCUGCCUGUAAGACCGGGAUAACUCGCGGAAACGCGAGCUAAUACCGGAUAAAGCUCCAUGCCGCAUGGCAUGAGGAUGAAAGACGGCUUUGCUGUCGCUUGCAGAUGGGCCCGCGGCGCAUUAGCUAGUUGGUGGGGUAAUGGCCUACCAAGGCGACGAUGCGUAGCCGACCUGAGAGGGUGACCGGCCACACUGGGACUGAGACGCGGCCCAGACUCCUACGGGAGGCAGCAGUAGGGAAUCUUCCGCAAUGGACGCAAGUCUGACGGAGCAACGCCGCGUGAGUGAUGAAUGUCUUCGGAUUGUAAAACUCUGUUGUUAGGGAAGAACAAGUACCGUUCGAAUAGGUCGGUACCUUGACGGUACCUAACCAGAAAGCCCCGGCUAACUACGUGCCAGCAGCCGCGGUAAUACGUAGGGGGCAAGCGUUGUCCGGAAUUAUUGGGCGUAAAGGGCGCGCAGGCGGUCUUCUAAGUCUGAUGUGAAAGCCCACGGCUUAACCGUGGAAGGUCAUUGGAAACUGGGGGACUUGAGUGCAGAAGAGGAGAGCGGAAUUCCACGUGUAGCGGUGAAAUGCGUAGAGAUGUGGAGGAACACCAGUGGCGAAGGCGG